RNAcentral lists this ribosomal RNA (231 nucleotides) under uncultured bacterium. RNAcentral's name for it is "partial 16S ribosomal RNA". It matches the Rfam family "Bacterial small subunit ribosomal RNA", at positions 118 to 347 of the family's 1533-position model. The record is from RNAcentral.
UGAGUAACCUGCCCUUCACUCUGGGAUAACUCCGGGAAACCGGGGCUAAUACUGGAUACGACCUACUCGGGCAUCCGAUGUGGGUGGAAAGAUUUAUCGGUGAGGGAUGGACUCGCGGCCUAUCAGCUAGUUGGUGAGGUAAUAGCUCACCAAGGCGACGACGGGUAGCCGGCCUGAGAGGGCGAUCGGCCACACUGGGACUGAGACACGGGCCAGACUCCUACGGGAGCA